RNAcentral lists this ribosomal RNA (349 nucleotides) under Rossellomorea aquimaris. Its description in RNAcentral is "bacterial SSU rRNA". It matches the Rfam family "Bacterial small subunit ribosomal RNA", at positions 1 to 341 of the family's 1533-position model. The record is from RNAcentral. Lineage: Bacteria; Bacillati; Bacillota; Bacilli; Caryophanales; Bacillaceae.
UUUCGGAGAGUUUGAUCCUGGCUCAGGACGAACGCUGGCGGCGUGCCUAAUACAUGCAAGUCGAGCGGACUGAUGGGAGCUUGCUCCCUGAAGUCAGCGGCGGACGGGUGAGUAACACGUGGGUAACCUGCCUGUAAGACUGGGAUAACUCCGGGAAACCGGGGCUAAUACCGGAUAGUUCUUUUCCUCGCAUGAGGAAAAGUGGAAAGGCGGCUUCGGCUGCCACUUACAGAUGGACCCGCGGCGCAUUAGCUAGUUGGUGAGGUAACGGCUCACCAAGGCAACGAUGCGUAGCCGACCUGAGAGGGUGAUCGGCCACACUGGGACUGAGACACGGCCCAGACUCCUA